This is a long non-coding RNA of Salvelinus sp. IW2-2015, 1539 nucleotides long. RefSeq lists it as uncharacterized. NCBI's taxonomy places the organism in Eukaryota, Metazoa, Chordata, Actinopteri, Salmoniformes, Salmonidae. The record is from RefSeq and is a predicted model, not a curated record.
AUUUCAUUCCAUUUACAAGUUGUCAAUUUAUUAAUUGUCUUUUGUUUGGAGCGCUCCUGUCAAUCUUGAGUAAGGACAAGCAUCUGAUUACGCAUAAAAGUAGUCCUAGGCUACCUGGCCUAAUUACAAAUGUAGGCCUGUAAAUGUGCCCAUUUGGGGAGCUGAUACUAUUUCUGAUUGUCUUAAAUCACCAUCACUCCUCAAAGUAAUCAUUCUUCGCCUCAAACAGUUUGACUGUAUAGCAACUACGAUGCCCAUAGACAGCUAGCUGCGGGCUGGAGCUGAAUAAAAUUAUUGAAGAUACCAAGAAAAGCAGAGCUGUGUUGUGAACACCAGUAAUCAAGUCAGCAAGACUAUUCAAGCUAUUGAAUCAAUAAUGGAUGAAGAUGAGCGCUCGGCAAAGGCCAUCUGUAAUCUGCUGGCAUCACAGCACAACAUCUACAUCGCUCUAAUCGCAGUCAGAAGACAGUUGAAGAAACUUGCGUGGACUUAUGGAAAGGCUUGUUUCGACCCAGUGAUUCGUCUGACAAACAAAGAACUUCGCGACCAGGCAUGGAUCAAAGCUGGCGAGACAUUCAAUGACACCAUCUUCAAAGACUAAUCAACGGUGACCCUUGAGCAAUUUGCUCAAAAUUGCCACAGAAAAAAGGAAGAAGAUCAAGCAAGCCGAGUCCCAAGCAUCCCCUUAUUAAUGAAAGCAUAAAGGUGUUGAUGAAGAACUGUUAGGGCCAAAUUGGGGGAUUUUCACACCUACAGAAGCCGGGCUAUGAAGAGUCUAUUGUCCUGCUAAUACAAAACAUUGUUUGCAUGAUGGACUACACCUGCUACAGUACACUUGUGCAAAACAAGUUUUCAAACACUUGUUUGAAAACAGCCUCCAGCUGUCCAUCAAAAUGCCUCCAGCUGUCCAGCAUCUUGUUUACAUUCUUUAUUGUAUCCACAAUGUCAAAUACUUUGUAUUACUUUUAGAGCUUGGGAUUUACAAAUGUGCGCUGUGAGAAUAUCUAAUAAUAAUAAUUGCCUUGUAAAUAAGGAUGCAUUAUGAAAGGAAAAUGACAUGCGGAAGAGACAGUGGUAAUAUUUUUCCUUUUAGAGACUAUAAUACUAUACAUGGCGUCCAUGUCAUUUUCGUUUCUCUUAGAAUAAAAAUCUUAGUAUAACAACCGUUUUAGUAAGUAAUAUGRUACAGUCCAGUUACAGCUUGUUCUGAUCAAGUAGAGUGUGUGUGCAGGACAGAGGAAUCGCAAUUCUUACGCUAUUGUUCAGGAGUAACAGAAAAUUGCGUGUCAAUUAAUAAACCCAUGUGCCAAUGAAAAUAUCUCUUCCCAACUAUUUUGCAAUCUAUAUGGCUCUUCGCUAAUAAUUACAUUUAGAAGAUUGGAGUAUUCAAAAUUAAUAUCUAAGGGGCAUUUUUUGUUAGGGCAAAUCUGGAAAAUAACAUGUGUAAGAGACGGUGGUAAUAUUUUUCCUUUUAUACUUAAUUGUGUGGCAAUGGUGCGUCGCCCUAUGGGACUCCCAAUCACGGCCGGAUGUGAUACA